This 483-nucleotide ribosomal RNA is filed under the name uncultured bacterium. Its description in RNAcentral is "bacterial SSU rRNA". It matches the Rfam family "Bacterial small subunit ribosomal RNA", at positions 367 to 862 of the family's 1533-position model. The record is from RNAcentral.
GGCAUGGACGCAAGUCUGACCUGCGACGCCGCGUGCGGGAUGAAGGCCUUCGGGUUGUAAACCGCUUUCAGUAGGGAAGAAGCGAAAGUGACGGUACCUACAAAAGAAGCACCGGCUAACUAUGUGCCAGCAGCCGCGGUAAUACAUAGGGUGCAAGCGUUGUCCGGAAUUAUUGGGCGUAAAGAGCUCGUAGGUUGUUCGUUACGUCGGAUGUGAAAAUCUGGGGCUCAACCCCAGACCUGCAUUCGAUACGGGCGAACUAGAGUGUGGUAGGGGAGACUGGAAUUCCUGGUGUAGCGGUGGAAUCGCGCGGAUAUCAGGAGGAACACCAAUGGCGAAGGCAGGUCUCUGGGCCAUUACUGACACUGAGGAGCGAAAGUCUGGGGAGCGAACAGGAUUAGAUACCCUGGUAGUCCAGACCGUAAACGGUGGGCGCUAGUUGUGGGAACCUUCCACGGUUUCUGCGACGCAGCUAACGCAUUA